Long non-coding RNA from Triticum aestivum (bread wheat), 2775 nucleotides. RefSeq lists it as uncharacterized. The record is from RefSeq and is a predicted model, not a curated record. NCBI's taxonomy places the organism in Eukaryota, Viridiplantae, Streptophyta, Magnoliopsida, Poales, Poaceae. The transcript is spliced from 5 exons.
AUCAACCUAGCACACAACGCGGUGAUUGGGAGAUGGGAUCUUCUGUUGCCCAGGGAUGUACAUCUGAUUUUAAGAAUAUCAUCUGAGUCCUGCGUCCCUUUAGCCUCCUCCCCUCCAACCUCCAUGGCUCUGUGAUGAAAUCAAGGUUGACUGAUGUUUGAUAUGAACAGAAUAAAGUCUACAGGUCAAAGGGAAAAUAGAAUGGGCUUCCAUAUGAUGGAUGUACAUGGGGGAAAUAAGUCUGAUAUCUUGGUGUUUCAAUCUCAGAUUGAAUUCUUCAACAAGAUUUAGUCCAGGAGCAAGUCUACUGAGAAGAGCAAGGGUGUCGAUCAUGAAUUUUUGUUUUAGUUGACUGUAGGUUUCAUGUGGUAUGUUUCCAGGUUCGUUCUUUGAAUUUGUUUUCUUGUUAACUUCUGACGCUAUAGAUUUUAUAUCAGUAAAAGUGUCAUCCUUGGUGAUAAGAUGGGACUAUAUUAGAGCUAUUAUUAGUGUAUGCUAGACUGGAUCAAAUGUGGACAUAAAAAUGCAACAAAACUGCAAGUCCACAUCUGAUUCAACACACUUCCACUGUAGUGUUUGAGUGCAUAUACUGAUGUUCUUUGAUCAACAUAGGGUGAUGCUUGGUAGUUACCCCUCUCUCAGCCUUGCAAAGUUUGGGAGUGUGAAUUUGCAACUUGGACACCUCAUAGAAUGUUGGUCCGAAUAUUCGAAAUUGAUCAUGUAUAUAUCCCUAGCAGAUCUAAGAUGUCACUACUCUUUUUUUGGUUGUCAGGAAAUGUAUUUUUGAUCUCAGCUUCUAAUGAUGAAAAGAAGUAGUCAAGAAUAAAAUUUGAUGUCCUUUGGCACCUUACAAGAUGAUAAACAUCAACACUGAUGUUCUGUUGUUCUGAUAACUGCAAAAUAGGAAUGCAUGCAUCAAUGGGCAUGAAGGGCGUGGGUUGAAGACCAAUUAUUCUACAUUGUUCGGGCUAUUUAAAGGUAACUGUACUAAACAUCCUGUUCUUACUGCUCUUUACUCUUUAGUUAAUACCAUCAGUGUGGCAUUCCUCCUUUUUAACGUUCUUUUAGUUAGUAGCAGUAUUUUUGAAGUGUUUCUACCAUUUCUCUGGAGGUUCUAGCGGUGUUCACGAUAUUAGGCUGUAAUUGUUGCCAGCCUGAUCUUGGUAAAUUUUCCUUGCUUAGUCUUAAUAUUGAAACUUGCUCGGAGGAUCCAACCAAGGCCACAUUUUUGAUAAAUAAGAUGCAAGAUUCUAUUCUGUCAACAGGCUUUGAUGUGUCAUCAGCAGCUCUAUUGCAAGUCUCUAGCGUCGACUUACCCCAGUUCCUUCGGUUCAGAUGCCGUUUCCUAAUUGCUAGAGCUGCAAGGGUACAUAUUUACUUCCUUAUCAUCCUUGAGUCAUGUUAUCUGCGAGGGCACUUAAUUGCUUACAUGUUUGCAAUUUCUAUGUCGCUUCUUUGCUACAAAAUGUAACAUGUGAUUUAUCUUUUGCCAAUCUUCGUCAAAGUGUUUUUGUUUAUACAUUGCAGGAACCCAUAAGCCAAUAGUAUUAGAUUUGGAUGGCUUUCCAGGGAUUGAAGUGGUUGGAGCUGCAGGCCGAACUCAAAUUAUUUGUUUUUUCAAUACCAUUUGUUAAUUCAAUUGCAAACAUUGUGGUACACGUAUUAUGCUAAUAGGUAAAGCUUCUGUUAUUUACACCUUUUUUUAUUUAACAAAAUUGAAUGUACAAUUAGACGUUUAAGUAAGUUUUCUUUGUGUAGAUACACCAUCUAGCCUUACUCACGCCCAACUCUUUUUAUCAUUCACUUCCAACUAUAUUUUUCACUUUGUGUAGAUAAAGACAUGUCCCAAUCUUCUUGGUCUGCUCACGUAUGUUCAUUUUUAAUACAGGAGGCGAUCUGAAUUAAAGGAAGAACUCUAUGUUGUCUGCUUGAAUCAAUUGUUCAUCUCUACAUUAACGAAUAGAAGAAUUUGUUCAGACUUCAGAAAUGUGUGGUUGAGGAGACAGGAACACACAGCAGUCUGCACUACACACUUGACAUACGUGCAAAGGAUCUUCACUAAGAUAUAUCGAGCAGAGCUCAUCACGACAUCCUGUGACGUUCUCAACCAUGUUAUCCUUCACGAUAAACAUAUUUUGAAGGAGACAAGAGAGCAUCCAAGCACGACCAUGUUGAACUUGAUGUCUUGCUGCAGUACAAGCGGCUGUUGUCCCUUGAUCCAGGUAUGAUUUCCGAAGAUUAUUUCACUAAUUAGCUAUACCCAGUGUAGAUCUGGCACGUCCACUUCUAAAUGAACAAGAUAUUUCAAGGUGAUGCAUCGUGUCGUGGUCGUUGUCUGUGCUAUCCGUCUUCCUCAUUUGUGCUAAUUUGAUUACUCUUUUUUGAAGGCAGUGCAUCGUCGGGUUUCUCAUAACAUGUUGGUAGAUUUUAUUUAUUGUCUUCUUAAGAAAUAGAUCGACCCAAAACAUUGUUCAUAUUUACAGGUUGAUUAUUUUCGUAGAUUUAUAAUCCAAAUACAUGACCCAGUACAAGAUUACGAGCUUGGAGUCGUCCUUCUUGUUUGGGAGGGCAGAUUUGGUACUAAACACUUAAUUGGUGUUGAUAGACUUGUACUGUGAAAAAUAAUGGUAAUAUGAACAGACUGAUAGUGGUAUACAUAGGGUGACAAGGAGUUAUUAUUUUCAUUCCUAUAUGCAACUUUUCUGGCACUAACCAAUAGUAUUGUGCUGCCAGAACACUGUAUGCUUAGUAUUGAUUAAAUUUUAUUAUCAGCAA